UACGGAGGGUGCGAGCGUUGUCCGGAAUCACUGGGCGUAAAGGGCGCGUAGGCGGCGCGGGUAGUCAUCGGUGAAAGUUCAGGGCUCAACUCUGAAUCGGCCGGUGAUACUCCCGUGCUCGAGCACUGUAGAGGCAGGUGGAAUUCCGGGUGUAGCGGUGGAAUGCGCAGAUAUCGGGAGGAACACCAAUGGCGAAGGCAGCUCGCUGGGACGUUACUGACGCUGAGACGCGAAAGCGUGGGGAGCAAACAGG
RNAcentral lists this ribosomal RNA (253 nucleotides) under uncultured bacterium. RNAcentral's name for it is "partial 16S ribosomal RNA". It matches the Rfam family "Bacterial small subunit ribosomal RNA", at positions 524 to 776 of the family's 1533-position model. The record is from RNAcentral.